CCUACGGGUGGCAGCAGUGGGGAAUAUUGCACAAUGGGGGAAACCCUGAUGCAGCGACGCCGCGUGAGUGAAGAAGUAUUUCGGUAUGUAAAGCUCUAUCAGCAGGGAAGAAAAUGACGGUACCUGACGAAGAAGCCACGGCGAACUACGUGCCAGCAGCCGCGGUAAUACGUAGGGGGCAAGCGUUAUCCGGAUUUACUGGGUGUAAAGGGAGCGUAGACGGCCAGACAAGUCAGAAGUGAAAGCCCAGGGCUCAACCCUGGGACUUCUUUUGAAACUGCCGGGCUGGAGUGCAGGAGAGGUCAGCGGAAUUCCUCGUGUAGCGGUUAAAUGCGUAGAUCUUAGGAGGACCACCAGUGGCGCAGGCGGCUUACUGGACUGUACCUGACGUUGAGGCUCGACAGCGUGGGGAGCAAACAGGAUUAGAUACCCUUGUAGUC
This 440-nucleotide ribosomal RNA is filed under the name uncultured bacterium. RNAcentral describes it as "partial 16S ribosomal RNA". It matches the Rfam family "Bacterial small subunit ribosomal RNA", at positions 338 to 795 of the family's 1533-position model. The record is from RNAcentral.